GACGAACGCUGGCGGCGUGCUUAACACAUGCAAGUCGAACGGAAAGGCCCUGCUUUUGUGGGGUGCUCGAGUGGCGAAAGGGUGAGUAACACGUGAGUAACCUGCCCUUGACUUUGGGAUAACUUCAGGAAACUGGGGCUAAUACCGGAUAGGAGCUCCUGCUGCAUGGUGGGGGUUGGAAAGUUUCGGCGGUUGGGGAUGGACUCGCGGCUUAUCAGCUUGUUGGUGGGGUAGUGGCUUACCAAGGCUUUGACGGGUAGCCGGCCUGAGAGGGUGACCGGCCACAAUGGGACUGAGAUACGGCCCAGACUCCUACGGGAGGCAGCAGUGGGGAAUAGUGCACAAUGGGCGGAAGCCUGAGGCAGCAGCGCCGCGUGCGGGAUGACGGCCUUCGGAUUGUAAACCGCUUUCGCCUGUGACGAAGCGUGAGUGACGGUAAUGGGUAAAGAAGCACCGGCUAACUACGUG
Molecule: ribosomal RNA, 468 nt
Filed under: uncultured bacterium
Lineage: Bacteria
Description: partial 16S ribosomal RNA
Rfam family: Bacterial small subunit ribosomal RNA
Source: RNAcentral